This 253-nucleotide ribosomal RNA is filed under the name uncultured prokaryote. RNAcentral's name for it is "partial 16S ribosomal RNA". It matches the Rfam family "Bacterial small subunit ribosomal RNA", at positions 524 to 776 of the family's 1533-position model. The record is from RNAcentral.
UACGUAGGGUGCGAGCGUUAAUCGGAAUUAUUGGGCGUAAAGCGCACGUAGGCGGUUAUCUAAGUCGGAUGUGAAAGCCCUCGGCUCAACCGAGGAAGAGCAUCCGAAACUGAAUAGCUAGAGUACGAAAGAGGGUCGCGGAAUUCCCGGUGUAGAGGUGAAAUUCGUAGAUAUCGGGAGGAACACCGGUGGCGAAGGCGGCGACCUGGGUCGAGACUGACGCUGAGGUGCGAGAGCGUGGGGAGCAAACAGG